This is a non-coding RNA of Pelobates cultripes (western spadefoot toad), 249 nucleotides long. NCBI's taxonomy places the organism in Eukaryota, Metazoa, Chordata, Amphibia, Anura, Pelobatidae. The record is from the annotation of a GenBank genome assembly.
GGUCCUUAAUGGAACAAUUUAAUGUUAUAAAUGUAUUUAUAACAUUAAGGUGUUCUUGGUGGUAGGCAUAUGCAUGGGAAAAAUUUUCGGUUCGGCAUUCCGAAAUUCGGGACUUCGGCUCUUCGUCAACUUCACCACUUUGAAACUUCGCCACUUCGGAAUUUCGGUAACUUUGGCACUUCAACACUUCGGAACUUCGGAACUUCAGCAACUUUGGCACUUCGACACGUCGACACUUCGGAAUUUCGG